GCUUACGGCCAUACCACUCUGAACGCGCGAUCCGAUCUCGUCUGAUCUCGGAAGCCAAACAGGGUUGGGCCUGAUUAGUACUUGGGUGGGAGACUGCUUGGGAAUACCAGGUGCUGUAAGCU
Molecule: ribosomal RNA, 122 nt
Organism: Siniperca chuatsi (mandarin fish)
Lineage: Eukaryota; Metazoa; Chordata; Actinopteri; Centrarchiformes; Sinipercidae
Source: RefSeq, a predicted model, not a curated record